This 436-nucleotide ribosomal RNA is filed under the name uncultured Oscillospiraceae bacterium. Its description in RNAcentral is "partial 16S ribosomal RNA". It matches the Rfam family "Bacterial small subunit ribosomal RNA", at positions 341 to 792 of the family's 1533-position model. Lineage: Bacteria; Bacillati; Bacillota; Clostridia; Eubacteriales; Oscillospiraceae. The record is from RNAcentral.
GCGGAAGGCAGCAGUGGGGAAUAUUGGGCAAUGGGCGAAAGCCUGACCCAGCAACGCCGCGUGAAGGAAGAAGGUCUUCGGAUUGUAAACUUCUUUUAUGUGGAACGAACAAAUGACGGUACCACAUGAAUAAGCCACGGCUAACUACGUGCCAGCAGCCGCGGUAAUACGUAGGUGGCAAGCGUUAUCCGGAUUUACUGGGUGUAAAGGGCGUGUAGGCGGAGCUGCAAGUCAGAUGUGAAAUCCCGGGGCUCAACCCCGGAACUGCAUUUGAAACUGUAGCCCUUGAGUAUCGGAGAGGCAAGCGGAAUUCCUAGUGUAGCGGUGAAAUGCGUAGAUAUUAGGAGGAACACCAGUGGCGAAGGCGGCUUGCUGGACGACAACUGACGCCGAGGCGCGAAAGCGUGGGGAGCAAACAGGAUUAGAUACCCUGGUA